This is a long non-coding RNA of Drosophila gunungcola (fruit fly), 1191 nucleotides long. RefSeq lists it as uncharacterized. Lineage: Eukaryota; Metazoa; Arthropoda; Insecta; Diptera; Drosophilidae. The record is from RefSeq and is a predicted model, not a curated record. The transcript has 3 exons.
UUGUAAACGAUCUACCAAACUCAGUUAAGAUAGAAGAAAAUAUAAUGUUAUAUCCACCCCUUUCCACCUGAGGACAGGCCAAAUUCAAAGUAUGGGGGAGUGACAUAUCCAUAAUCCCAUAUAACUCUUAUGCACAUGUCCACACACCUACACACACAUACACCCUUAGUACCCAAAUCAGCCGAUAUCUAAUUGCAAAUGUACCCAAGCCUUAGACUAAACAUCCAAAACGAAUCAGCCGAUAUCUAAUUGCAAAUGUACCCAAGCCUUAGACUAAACAUCCAGAACGAAUCAAAUUACGUUAUCAGUUCGUUCCAACACUUUCGGAUCCCAAUGGAAAAUUACCAUGCGAGCAAAACUCCAAGAUUCUAGACUAAACAAUUGGAUUGAGUGGCUGGUGCAUUAUCAAUCAACAAUCCAAAGGGCAAUUAGAAAACUCACUCAAUUAACGCCAACUCCACUCUUAGAAAGCUCUAAAGCUCAAAACCGAGAUAUUACAGGGCAUAAUGCAUUACAAAUUGAACAAAGCACCCAUGAGGGCUCAUGGAGGGAAAAGUUGGAUCUACAAACUUGCAAAUAGAAGGAACAGCGAUGUCAAUAUAGCUUGGAAAAAGAUACGAAUUCACCUGACCUAUAAAAAAAUGACUCCUCUGCACUUUUUAAGAUGUUUUAAAGGCUCUCUACAAUAGUUUUUAGAGCCCUGUUGUGACAAUUCAGAGUUUUCAUAGAUGAGCAAAAAUGCUCUGGGGUUUUUUCCACCAAUUAGAAAAUAAAACGAUAAAAGGUGAACUUGUCUAUUACUAUGUACAAUAAAUUCUAAUUCAGUUCUUUUCUUAUGUCAAUGCUCAAUGCUGACAUCACGCGACCAGCUGCUUAGAUAACUUCUUCAGCUCGUUAUAUAGAAAAUAAUGAACACGAGCCGUUGAUCUGUCUCUUUCGUGACUCUCUUUACAUAAAAUUCGGUAAAUUAUAACAGAGUGGUGGAUUUAUGAAAUAAUGAGAAUUGCAUUUGCAAAAAAAAUAGUUCUCUUAACUACAUCGAACGUCCGAACAAGCCCCUUAAUCUUGUGUCAGUCUUCUUGACUGGAAUAUAGCUCUUUAAUUUAAGAUUUACCCAGAUAUUGUUAGUAUCCCUAAGAAAAAGAUUCAAUAAAAGUACGGAAAUGUAAAAACGACGUCUAUAUCAUAUAG